AGACCCGAAACCCGGUGAUCUAGCCAUGGGCAGGUUGAAGGUUGGGUAACACUAACUGGAGGACCGAACCGACUAAUGUUGAAAAAUUAGCGGAUGACCUGUGGCUGGGGGUGAAAGGCCAAUCAAACCGGGAGAUAGCUGGUUCUCCCCGAAAGCUAUUUAGGUAGCGCCUCGUGAAUUCAUCUCCGGGGGUAGAGCACUGUUUCGGCUAGGGGGCCAUCCCGGCUUACCAACCCGAUGCAAACUGCGAAUACCGGAGAAUGUUAUCACGGGAGACACACGGCGGGUGCUAACGUCCGUCGUGAAGAGGGAAACAACCCAGACCGCCAGCUAAGGUCCCAAAGUCAUGGUUAAGUGGGAAACGAUGUGGGAAGGCCCAGACAGCCAGGAUGUUGGCUUAGAAGCAGCCAUCAUUUAAAGAAAGCGUAAUAGCUCACUGGUCGAGUCGGCCUGCGCGGAAGAUGUAACGGGGCUAAACCAUGCACCGAAGCUGCGGCAGCGACGCUGAUGCGUUGUUGGGUAGGGGAGCGUUCUGUAAGCCUGCGAAGGUGACCUGUGAGGGUUGCUGGAGGUAUCAGAAGUGCGAAUGCUGACAUAAGUAACGAUAAAGCGGGUGAAAAGCCCGC
This 626-nucleotide ribosomal RNA is filed under the name Salmonella enterica subsp. enterica serovar Heidelberg. RNAcentral's name for it is "partial 23S ribosomal RNA". It matches the Rfam family "Bacterial large subunit ribosomal RNA", at positions 711 to 1333 of the family's 2925-position model. Lineage: Bacteria; Pseudomonadati; Pseudomonadota; Gammaproteobacteria; Enterobacterales; Enterobacteriaceae. The record is from RNAcentral.